This 1837-nucleotide long non-coding RNA is filed under the name Homo sapiens (human). Its description in RNAcentral is "ZNF667 antisense RNA 1 (ZNF667-AS1)". The record is from RNAcentral. Lineage: Eukaryota; Metazoa; Chordata; Mammalia; Primates; Hominidae.
AGAAUCCACCGGGGUGCAGCGAGGCUGUGGAAAGUCCCACCCAGAACGUGAGGUGAAGAAGGCUUGGGCUGCGCUGGUUCUGCUCUGUCCGGGUCGGAGAUGAACUGACCCGGGAGAGCAGCGGAGGGAUGUUUCUUUUGGCCAACAGUGGGGACUCACCUGCACGUUUUGCGAAGAGGCCCACAGUCCUUUGCGUGGCGCUCGGACUACAUUUCCCAACGGCCCCUGCACGCCCUGGGGGCUGUUCCAUGCGGUGUUGCGCCUGCGUAGCCGGCGGGCUGGCAGUGAGACUGACUGCGUCGGGGUUGAGACUGGGUGGAUGAGGCUCACCCCGGCGGGGAGAAGGGACGAGGAGGGGCGGACAGCGGAAGGUCCGGGAGUGUCCGCCAUAAAGUCGUUUGAGGUGACCGUUGCGUAAUUGUGAGUCUGUGAGAGAAGAUGUGAAGUAUGGCCUCGUCCCGGUCAUCUGGGCGUGCGGGUCCCGGGUUUUGAUCGCGCGUUUGUGUAGUUUUAACUUCUAGUCAUGGCGAAUGAUCGCAGGAGAGCACAGACUGGACCCUGCUACGAUCUCUCUUGGAGUGGAUCAGACUGAUGAUCACCAACAACCAACUCAUUCCCGGAUAAGGAAGAAGAGAGUGUCACCUACUUCAGUGUGGUUUCAACCCUACUUCUGCAUCUUAAAGACACUGUAUGGUUUCAGCAGUAGUGCCCCUGUUCAUUAGUCCCCCUGAUGUUUUCAUUCCUCAUCUCAUCUUUUUCUUAGCAGCAUUCAAUGAAUCCUUCAUUCUAGAAACACUCUAUAUCUUUGGUUUUCAUGAGACCAUUCUCACCUUGUUUUGUCCUGUGACUUUUUUGAAAAAAACAAAAACAAAAAACCCUUUUUUUCUUUUUAAAUUCUGGUAAAAAACACAAUGAAAAUUUGCUAUCUUAACCAUGUUGAAAUGUGCAGUUAGUAAAGUACAUUCACAUUGUGGUGCAAGCCAUCACUACCAUCCAUCACUAGAACCCUUUUCAUCUUGCAGAUCUGAAACUCUACCCAUUAAACGACUUCCCAUCUUCCCAUCCCCACAGCUCCUAGCAACCAACAUUCUACUUUCUCUAUCAGUUUGACUACUCUAGGUACCUCAUAUGAGUAGAAUCAUACAGCAUUUAUCCUUCUCUGCCUGGCUUAUUUCACUUGUAUAAUGUCCUCAAGGUUCAUUCAUGUUGUAGCAUGCAUCAGAACUUCCUCCCCUUUUAAAGGCUGGAUAAUAUUUCAUGGUAUGUUUAGAUCACAUUCUGUUUAUCCAUUCAUCCAUCAGUGAACACUUGUGCUCCUUCCAACUUUGGGCUGUUGGGUGUCCUGCCACUGUUGCUCCUAGUGCUCAAUCUCGUUUAUUCCCUCCUAAUCAAGUGUACAACGUUGGACACUGUGCAGGAUGAUGCCACUUCAUCUUGGAUGCUAAUCUGCCAUGUUGACUUCUGAUUAACCCCAGGCCCAGGAAUGCCUCAAGAUUUCUACUUUACUUACUGUUGCUUGUGUAAGCCAAGACAACCUUGAUGUUAUCAUAAACAUGUACUUACCUAAGUCCUGUCCUUUGGCAAAUUAUGGGCUAUGAGACACAGCAUUCUUGCCUUUCCCUGAGGGGUCAAUUUCAGCGAUCCUACACAUUCCUUCUGAAGCACUUAUGCUCUUUCUAUAUGGUAUGUAAGCUCUCGGUCUGGGGAGUAACAGUGCAGAGAUCUACCUGUCUUGUUGCCACAUGUUUCUAAACUUUCCAAUAAAUCACCUUCUACUGACAAAAAAAAAAAAAAAAAAAAAAAAAAAAAAAAAAAAAAAAAAAAAAAAAAAAAAAAA